RNAcentral lists this ribosomal RNA (493 nucleotides) under uncultured bacterium. Its description in RNAcentral is "partial 16S ribosomal RNA". It matches the Rfam family "Bacterial small subunit ribosomal RNA", at positions 28 to 506 of the family's 1533-position model. The record is from RNAcentral.
GACGAACGCUGGCGGCGUGCUUAACACAUGCAAGUCGAACGGAAAGGCCUGCUUUCCCUUGUGGAUUGCGGGUACUCGAGUGGCGAACGGGUGAGUAACACGUGAGUGAUCUGCCCCCAACUUGGGUAUAAGCCUGGGAAACUGGGUCUAAUUCCCGAUAGGACUGCAGGGUGGUGCCUGUGGUGGAGAACGAUUUUCUAGUGGUUGGGGAUGAGCUCGCGGCCUAUCAGCUUGUUGGUGGGGUAAUGGCCUACCGAGGCGGCGACGGGUAGCCGGCCUGGGAGGGUGGACGGCCACAUUGGGACUGAGAUACGGCCCAGACUCCUACGGGAGGCAGCAGUGGGGAAUAUUGCACAAUGGGCGGAAGCCUGAUGCAGCGACGCCGCGUGGGGGAUGACGGCCUUCGGGUUGUAAACUCCUUUCGACCGCGAGGAAGCCACCUGGUUGGAAGGGUGGUGACGGUAGUGGUAGAAGAAGCACCGGCUAACUACGU